Molecule: non-coding RNA, 86 nt
Organism: Tulasnella sp. JGI-2019a
Lineage: Eukaryota; Fungi; Basidiomycota; Agaricomycetes; Cantharellales; Tulasnellaceae
Source: the annotation of a GenBank genome assembly
GCCGAAUUGGCCUAGUGGUAGGGCAUAGCUUUCCUAUAGACUCAGAUCUUAGGCUGGGGUCGUGGGUUCGAACCCCACAUUCGGUU